GAAAUGCGAUACGUAAUGCGAAUUGCAGAAUUCAGUGAAUCAUCAAAUCUUUGAACGUAACUUACGCUCUUGGGUAUCCCUGGGAGCAUACUUCUUUGAGUCGCGUUUCAACCCCAAUCUCGACUGCGUGUUAUCAAAAACAGGCAGCUUCGGAGAAUGAGUGUCUGCUGGUUCGACAAGGGUCAGCAGUCCCUUGAAACGUGAUGAAUCGUUGCCCUCCGAAAACACGUUUUCGGUGAUUUCAACUAUCUGGUUCCAAAUCGAUGUUUGAUAAUUGACCACUUGUGUCAAACCAAUAUCACAUCGAGGAAAGGCCGGUAGGAAAUCGUGUGGUGCGAUCUCAAGGUAAAAUUGAAGUACAGGACAUAUGCGUGGCCUGUACUUCUUGAUCUUGCGCUCA
This 400-nucleotide unclassified non-coding RNA is filed under the name uncultured fungus. RNAcentral's name for it is "sequence contains ITS1". The stretch from base 1 to 105 matches the Rfam family "5.8S ribosomal RNA", at positions 50 to 154 of the family's 154-position model. Lineage: Eukaryota; Fungi. The record is from RNAcentral.